CACCAGGGGGAGGAGGGGGCGGGUGUAAUUUGUUUUAAACCACCCCGUAUUGUUUCUCUGGAGGAAAACUCACCAUUGAUAUUCCCACAUUAUGUCUCUGGUGGAUAUAAGAUAGAUGCAGUCUUACCAGAGAUUUGAGUCACCGGAGCGGUUCCUGUGCUGUAGCCCUUCUCCGCGUACACCUGCCGGGUGUCGGCACAGCUCCUCCCAGCAGCAGCCACGGGACUCCGGCUCCCCGACAGUGAACACACCGCACAGAGAAGCACCAGUAGCGGGUACCUGGAGGAAGAAGAGCGGGUAUCCAUCUUCACCGCAGGACGUAGAAAAAGAGAGCAGGAGAGAGGGCGGCUUUAUAUAAAACCAGACGGGUGCAGCACCUUUUAAAAAUGAAUGAAUGGCCGGUUUGGAUGCACGCAAAAGUAAAAACAGUAUCCUAAAUCGUUAGUCGUUUGAAAGAGUCAUAGUUUUCCCGAUAAGUGCAGUGAACAGAUGCAUCCGGGCUGGUUUUUUCAUCACACAUAUGUCUCCAUGCACCGUGACCAGUUAAUUUACAGUCCUUCCUGGGAGAUCCUCUGUUGUACGUAAAUGUAAAGGGAGUGUGAAUGGGGCACUCCCGUCGCUCAGCCUCAUCCAGCACACUCUGUCAAGUGUGCUGGGCUGGCAGCACGAUACCGGAUGAGACUGUUUUCAAAAUAAAAAGCUAUUUUUAAUGUUUGAACAAGGCA
Molecule: long non-coding RNA, 725 nt
Organism: Eleginops maclovinus (Patagonian blennie)
Lineage: Eukaryota; Metazoa; Chordata; Actinopteri; Perciformes; Eleginopidae
Exons: 2
Source: RefSeq, a predicted model, not a curated record